Long non-coding RNA from Homo sapiens (human), 1680 nucleotides. RefSeq lists it as uncharacterized. The record is from RefSeq and is a predicted model, not a curated record. Lineage: Eukaryota; Metazoa; Chordata; Mammalia; Primates; Hominidae. The transcript is spliced from 2 exons.
CCCCCCGUGCAGGGGCCGGGGCUCGGGCGGGGCGCGUUACAUCGGGCGGGGUCGCCCCUCCGGCCGCCGGGUCCGCCGCGCUCCAGGGAUUUCUGGGUCUGCCUGCCAAACUCUCCGCGCCUCUCGCUCCCCUCGCUCUGGUCUCCCCCAGUGCCCCCUCCUUCUCUCCCGUCCCUCGGCUCUUUUUUCCGGGUUAAUUACGUUUCGCAUUAAAGCAAAACCCAGCCCCGGAUACAGGGUCUGGCUCUGUCGCCCAGGCUGGAGUGCGGUGGCGCAGUCAUAGCUCACUGCAGCCUCGACCUCCUGGGUCCAGCGAUCCUUCUGCCCCAGCCUCCCGAGUAGCUGGGACCACAGGCGCCUACACCGUGCCCGUUGGGACUUUUUCGGUGUGAUGCGAAGACUCCCUUCCUGCCCCCAGAGCAUGAGGGUGCUCUGGGAAAAAAUGGGAAACAGACAAGCAUGUGUUACUACGUAAACCUCGCCAAGAGGAACUAAGAGAGCUGCUGUGCGCGGGUCCCGCCCCUGCGCUAUCUCAUUUGAUCCACGCCGCAACCUAUGGGUACCAGUCCGGUUCACGGUGAGGAAACCGAGACUCAGACUUGUGAAGUAAUUUGCCCUGGGUACCCAGUUAGUAAACGGCAGGUCUGUCAGGUUCUGACUCCGGCCUCCCACGUCGGGAGAGAGACAUUUGAAUAUGCAUCAAGUCAGGUGGACAACAUCCGAAACAUGAAAAUGUAGAAGAUUCGCGCGGGCCUGCGGGGCCGUGCGCCGGUGUCUGGCGAUCCUAAUGCAAACGUUGUUAAUCAGGUGUAAAUCCUACGAGGCUUUGAAAGAGGCAGGCAUAAGAAGACGCUGAGGUUCUCCAGGACAAGGACUGGAUUUGCAGGAAGGAGGGAGAGGCUGGGGCACAUUCCCGGUGUUAACAGAGGAAAGGCGGCCUCUUAUGUCUCCACGACCGACCGGAGGCCACAAGGCCUGGGGAGGGGGGCUCGGGCCGAUGAGCCAGGACCGAGGGAGAAGGACAGCCCGCCCCACACACCCCGAAAGCACCAGUGAUGAAACCACACAAGUUUCCUCUUCCAUUUUGAUUGCCAAAGCAAAAAUGAACACCGCCGGUGUCUCAGGUGUGAAAAAAGACUGUUUGCUUUAGAGCAUUUUGCUUUCAAUGAGGAAGAAAAGGGGGACGAUGGGCAAAACACACACACACACACACACACACACACACACACACACACACACACACAUUUCCCUUGAAAUAAAUACAUCAAUGUCUUUUUUUUCCCCGUUCAUGGAGGGUUUUGCCACUCAUCUGUAAGUUUCAGGCACCAGAACAAACUGAAGAGCAUCUCCUCUGGAAGCAAGGAACCUGGAUUUGAAGCCCAGCUCUGCCGUUUACUGGCUUUGACCCCUGGGCAAGUUACUUAACUUCUCAAUGCCUCUGUUAGGAAAAGUCAGUGAGUUAACAUUUGUGAAGUGUUGAGAUUCCUGUCGAACGUGAAGUAGGUGCUACGUAAAUGUUUUUUAAAUUUAAAAAUUAGAUGAUCAUUUUCAGUAUGAAAAGCAACACAAUUCCAUCCAGCUCCAAGCAAAUCCGACUGGAACUGAGGGUUUCCAGCAUGAGCAAUGAGGUAAAUUUCUCAGAUUUCAGGGUAUGGUUCAUAUUAAACUCAUAAAACUCUA